Molecule: ribosomal RNA, 403 nt
Filed under: uncultured bacterium
Lineage: Bacteria
Description: partial 16S ribosomal RNA
Rfam family: Bacterial small subunit ribosomal RNA
Source: RNAcentral
GACGAACGCUGGCGGCGUGCCUAAUACAUGCAAGUCGAACGCAGUGGGGACGGGUGAGUAACACGUGGGUAACCUCCCAUCAGAGGGGAUAACACUUGGAAACAGGUGCUAAACCGAUACUGAUGGAUGAACCCGCGGUGCAUUAGCUAGUUGGUGAGGUAACGGCUCACCAAGGCCACGAUGCAUAGCCGACGUAGAGAGCGACUAUCCCCCCCUGGGACUGAGACACGGCCCAAACUCCUCCUGCCUUCUGCCUUUUUUCUUCUUCCCACCUUAACGAAAGUCUGACCUAGCAACGCCGCGUGAGUGAACACUUUUUUCCGAUCAUCACACUCUGUUGUUAGAGAAGCGGUAUCUAACCAGAAAGCCACGGCUAACUACGUGCCAGCCGCCGCGGUAAUAC